AUGUCCAAACCAUCUCAGCCUCACCUCUCUAACUUUGUCUCUAAACCACUCGACCUGAGUUGUCAUGCCUAUCUGCCUGCACUCUUUUCUUCAUCUCUCUUACGCGCUGUCUUUGGAAGGUUGACCUGCACUUUACAACGUCAUCCUGUCCAGUAUUUUUAAAGACAGGAAUGUGCAAUGAAUAUACGGUUCAGUCAAAUAUGUUAUUGUUUGCCUUGCUUAUAAGUCAUAUGUUUACCUUUGAGGUUGGUGUGUUUUAAAUCUGCGAUUCUGUGCUCGAAGAACAAGCCAGUGAAUCGUGUUCUUUGUACAAAUACAGUGAGAACAUUAACAUCUAAAAUCUAGCUCAAUAAAAUUCUCAACCACAUUUACACCACAUCUCUAACGUGUUUCCUUUUCUCACUAUUCAGAGGAUCCUCAACAAGCUGUGGUGAGGAAAGGGUCAAAGGUCACCUCAGAGAGAGUGGUCCUGGUGGUUCUCGGUGUUCUCCUGUCAGCUGCUCUCAUUGCUCUGUGUUUUACCACAUUUGAAAUAAUUAAAACUAACAAAAAGGUCAAAUAUCUGGAAGAUGACAAAAUGAAGUGUGAUAAUAAUCUCACAGAGACUCUCUCUAAGAUAAAAUCAUGCAGCACGGUGCAGCCGACCUGUCCAGCACCUAAAGUAAUAGAUGAUCCUUGUU
This is a long non-coding RNA of Pundamilia nyererei, 680 nucleotides long. RefSeq lists it as uncharacterized. Lineage: Eukaryota; Metazoa; Chordata; Actinopteri; Cichliformes; Cichlidae. The record is from RefSeq and is a predicted model, not a curated record. The transcript is spliced from 4 exons.